AACCGCCGUUAAACCUCAUCAAAGAAGAAGGUUGUUGGGGCAGGAGUUUAGCAAUCAGAGCUUAGCAACCGUAACCAACCGCUCAGACCUCGGAGACUUUUCACAAAACAUCAUGAUGGCGUAUAUGGGCUACAGGAAUACAUGCUUUUCCUUUCUCUGUUACAAGUGAACCGAAAAUGUUAAAUCGGUGUGCCUGGGGCACAUGUAAUACUGACAGUCGAUACCUGGAGAGGUUAGAGGGUGGUGUGUCUUUUUUUAUAUAUACCCUUUCCAAAACCAAAAUCUGACGGAGAGAGAAGUGUAGUUUGUGGAUAAAGCUUUGUGGACGACUUCAUUCAUAGUUGAACACAUGCAAGAUAAUGAAGGACACAUGUUUGCUCCAAGGUAAGUAACUAUGAAGGACACAUGUUUGCUCCAAGCCAAGUCUUCAGUACCCAAAUCAAGCUGCUGCUAGUACUGCUGGAUGAGAUGCAGUCAUAGGAUGCAGGCCACCUCCAAAAAAAAGAUUAAGAUCUGAUGUGUAAAAUGCGGCUUCCACAAACACCACAGGAGAGACGGCAACCAAAUCACCAGAGGAUAUCGGAGAUGAUACCUCAACAAAGGAGGCCACCGGGGUCAUUGAAAUAGCACGUAUUUGCAUCAUUCCUAUCCGAGAUACAACAUAUAAACUCCUGAAAUCCAUAUGUGUUCAUCUGGAUAGGGACAAUACAGGGAGCAGCCCCAUUUACUUCCUCUGCUGAGAACAGCUUCAGAGCCGAUUGUCCUUCAUCACUUCCUCUGGAUUUAUCUGGAGACUUCUCAGACCUAGAUGGGGUGGUGCGCCAGAGGAGGCAGGACAUGCUGGAGAGCAGCAGCUUGGGCUCCCAGACUCCUGACUAUGAGAAAAGGAGUUUUCCAGCAUCCCAGGCACAUUCCUGAGUUGGAUGAAGAAGGAGAGAUGGUGGUGCAUGCAGACGUCCACCUCCAGACCCCCAACCAAAAGCACGGAGCCGCUCACCAGAAUGAGCCGUCCAAGCCUGCCCAGGGGGUUGAAUUCAAAGUGAAAUUGCUACAGCCGGCAUCAUUGAACAUCUUCUUUUUGUUCCUAGUAAGUGUCCUUGUCUUGUCCUCGUGUUACAUGGCCUUCAAGAUUGUGGCUCUUGAGAAGCGGUUGAACUCGUUGGGUUCCGCACCAAAAACGUUGUGCAUCACAGAUCGCAGGCUGACUUCAAUGCAGAAAUAUGUGGGGAGUUGUCUUCAAACCUUUAAGCUAGAAAAGAUUCAGCGACAUCUCAGGAAGCUACUUGAAGAGACCUGACUGAAGGACCCGUUGGUCGCCUCGCUGGACCGAAGCAGCGCCUCGCUGGACUGAAGCAGUGCCUUCUUAAAACGCUGGUCAAAACACUGCAGAUUUGAUCGGCAAUCUGUUGCCAAAUAACAGAUGGCCACUUCGGAAAAGAGAGCGUUUCUUAAUUGUGCAAUAGCAGUAUCUUCCUUCUCACUCUACUCAGGACAAACACCAUUAUUUUGUAUCUGAUAGCGUACCAGAGGAAUCGAGACAUUUCAGCAACUGUAGCUAGUUUGGUCUGUAAACUUCAAACUCGUGGCUAAUAACUCAGAAUUUCUUCUAAAUCAUGCCUUGAGGUCAAUGGGAGAUUUAUGUAAAUUGAAGUUUGGUGUGCAGAUUUGAAGGCAAGACGCAACCCUUAGUGAAGAGAAGCCAUACGCUUUAGCCUAUGUGUAGUACUGUAUCUGAAGGUUUUCAAUAUUAAUGGGAUUUUUUCAGGUUGAGUAAUUUCAAGGUUUUUCUAAAUAAAUAACAAAAAGGUCAGGCUUGUAAUGCCUACAGUUCAUGUUUCCUUUUGUUGAUACAGAUAUGAAUUGCCAAUACAAUAUUUAUAGUUCUUGCUUCAUUUUUUGUCUCAAACUGUCAUUCAACAUGCCUAAAUGCCGCUAAUAACUCGGUGAAUAGCUUGCAUUUUCAAUAAGCACUUAAUGAUUUAACAUAAUGCCAUGCCGUGUGUUGAGGCUGUCCUAACACCCCUAAACCAGCAGAUGCUGCUCAUUCUAAUUUAUCAAUGUUUGUGUUUUUUCUAGUGGUUUAUCUCAUUAAUCCUUUCCUAAUUUCCUUUAAAAAUCUUUGACAGAGUGGAAGCCCAGAUACUGACCUCUGUCCUGUCAGUGACCCUGCUACUCCCCUUUCUACUGGAGUGCCACAGAUGCAUAGGGAGAUGGGGUGCAUCUCAAUGUCCAACAAUGGUCCCCUACUUUGAGUAGGAUUUGCAUUCAGGCAAAGCAGGGAAAGUGGGAUACCUAAGCUGUGUUCGAAUACCCAUACUAACAUACUGUAUACUACAUACUCAAUUUACGUCACAAAUAGUGCGGUUAGUAUGAGUAUUCGAACACCGCUCUAGUCAUUUGUUCAACUGAAUGCAUUUAACCCAACCCCUCUGAAUCAGAGAGGUGCGGGGGCUACCUUAAUCGACAUCCACGUCAUCGGCGCCCGGGGAACAGUGUGUUAACUGCGAAUGAACUUUGAGUGCGACAAUUCAACCUUCCCACAGAGCAAACUAUAGUCUUGCUUCAUAUUUACUGCUCUUGACUUAGUACUUUUUGACAGCGUCAAGUGAAUGAAAGAUUUGCAUCCUCUUUCAGUGUUCACAUCUCUGAAUACACAGAGCACUGUUGACUUACCAGGGAAACACUUCACACAACCUUGAUACAGGUCAUAUGUUUCAAUUCUGAAGAUAGUCCUGUUGAUCUAUUGUCUUGAAUGUUUUUCUUAUUUUACCAGUUGCGGUGGCAGUUGCUAGGCCUACAAUUAUAGCUACCUCAAAUGCUGACUUGAACUAUCUCAUGCUUAUAUAGUAACUUUACUGGGAU
Coregonus clupeaformis (lake whitefish) is the source of this 2862-nucleotide long non-coding RNA. RefSeq lists it as uncharacterized. The record is from RefSeq and is a predicted model, not a curated record. NCBI's taxonomy places the organism in Eukaryota, Metazoa, Chordata, Actinopteri, Salmoniformes, Salmonidae. The transcript has 11 exons.